CAGGGAAUAGUUUAAUUAGAAUAUCAGCUUUGGGUGCUGAUGGAGGAACUGUUGUUUCUUCCUUGA
RNAcentral lists this transfer RNA (66 nucleotides) under Mydaus javanensis (Sunda stink badger). Its description in RNAcentral is "tRNA-Pro". The record is from RNAcentral. Lineage: Eukaryota; Metazoa; Chordata; Mammalia; Carnivora; Mephitidae.